This 48-nucleotide transfer RNA is filed under the name Elephas maximus (Asiatic elephant). RNAcentral's name for it is "partial tRNA-Phe". The record is from RNAcentral. Lineage: Eukaryota; Metazoa; Chordata; Mammalia; Proboscidea; Elephantidae.
GUAAAUGUAGUUUAAAACAAAAGCAAGGAAUUGAAAAUACCUAGACGA